Molecule: ribosomal RNA, 1536 nt
Filed under: Enterobacter asburiae
Lineage: Bacteria; Pseudomonadati; Pseudomonadota; Gammaproteobacteria; Enterobacterales; Enterobacteriaceae
Description: bacterial SSU rRNA
Rfam family: Bacterial small subunit ribosomal RNA
Source: RNAcentral
UUGAAGAGUUUGAUCAUGGCUCAGAUUGAACGCUGGCGGCAGGCCUAACACAUGCAAGUCGAGCGGUAGCACAGAGAGCUUGCUCUCGGGUGACGAGCGGCGGACGGGUGAGUAAUGUCUGGGAAACUGCCUGAUGGAGGGGGAUAACUACUGGAAACGGUAGCUAAUACCGCAUAACGUCGCAAGACCAAAGAGGGGGACCUUCGGGCCUCUUGCCAUCAGAUGUGCCCAGAUGGGAUUAGCUAGUAGGUGGGGUAACGGCUCACCUAGGCGACGAUCCCUAGCUGGUCUGAGAGGAUGACCAGCCACACUGGAACUGAGACACGGUCCAGACUCCUACGGGAGGCAGCAGUGGGGAAUAUUGCACAAUGGGCGCAAGCCUGAUGCAGCCAUGCCGCGUGUAUGAAGAAGGCCUUCGGGUUGUAAAGUACUUUCAGCGGGGAGGAAGGCGAUAAGGUUAAUAACCUUGUCGAUUGACGUUACCCGCAGAAGAAGCACCGGCUAACUCCGUGCCAGCAGCCGCGGUAAUACGGAGGGUGCAAGCGUUAAUCGGAAUUACUGGGCGUAAAGCGCACGCAGGCGGUCUGUCAAGUCGGAUGUGAAAUCCCCGGGCUCAACCUGGGAACUGCAUUCGAAACUGGCAGGCUAGAGUCUUGUAGAGGGGGGUAGAAUUCCAGGUGUAGCGGUGAAAUGCGUAGAGAUCUGGAGGAAUACCGGUGGCGAAGGCGGCCCCCUGGACAAAGACUGACGCUCAGGUGCGAAAGCGUGGGGAGCAAACAGGAUUAGAUACCCUGGUAGUCCACGCCGUAAACGAUGUCGACUUGGAGGUUGUGCCCUUGAGGCGUGGCUUCCGGAGCUAACGCGUUAAGUCGACCGCCUGGGGAGUACGGCCGCAAGGUUAAAACUCAAAUGAAUUGACGGGGGCCCGCACAAGCGGUGGAGCAUGUGGUUUAAUUCGAUGCAACGCGAAGAACCUUACCUACUCUUGACAUCCAGAGAACUUAGCAGAGAUGCUUUGGUGCCUUCGGGAACUCUGAGACAGGUGCUGCAUGGCUGUCGUCAGCUCGUGUUGUGAAAUGUUGGGUUAAGUCCCGCAACGAGCGCAACCCUUAUCCUUUGUUGCCAGCGGUCCGGCCGGGAACUCAAAGGAGACUGCCAGUGAUAAACUGGAGGAAGGUGGGGAUGACGUCAAGUCAUCAUGGCCCUUACGAGUAGGGCUACACACGUGCUACAAUGGCGCAUACAAAGAGAAGCGACCUCGCGAGAGCAAGCGGACCUCAUAAAGUGCGUCGUAGUCCGGAUUGGAGUCUGCAACUCGACUCCAUGAAGUCGGAAUCGCUAGUAAUCGUAGAUCAGAAUGCUACGGUGAAUACGUUCCCGGGCCUUGUACACACCGCCCGUCACACCAUGGGAGUGGGUUGCAAAAGAAGUAGGUAGCUUAACCUUCGGGAGGGCGCUUACCACUUUGUGAUUCAUGACUGGGGUGAAGUCGUAACAAGGUAACCGUAGGGGAACCUGCGGUUGGAUCACCUCCUU